RNAcentral lists this long non-coding RNA (2277 nucleotides) under Homo sapiens (human). Its description in RNAcentral is "HSALNT0373186". The record is from RNAcentral. Lineage: Eukaryota; Metazoa; Chordata; Mammalia; Primates; Hominidae.
AUGGGUAAAUACAUGGUUUUAUUUUUCCUUUUCUUUUCUUUUUUUUGAGAUGGUGUCUCUCUAUGUUGCCUAGCCUGGUCUCGAACUCCUGGGCUCAAGUGAUCCUCCUGCCUCAGCCUCCCAAAGUGCUAAGAUUACUGGUGUGAGCCACCAUGCCGGUCCAGCAAUCCAUGGUUCCAUAUAGGGAUGGGAUCUCACUGCAUUGCUCAGGCUGGUCUCAAACUCCUGGGCUCAAGCAAUCUUCCUGCCUUAGCUUCCCAAAGUUCUGGGAUUACAGGCAUGAGCCACCACUCCCAGCCAAAAAAAAAAAUACUCAUUUAAAGCUGCACAAGUUUGAUGGCACAAGUCUGUAUAACUGGACCUGUGCCUUUAUAAAACCUCAAACACUGCAAAGGUUCAUGAAACAAUGUAUAUCUAUUCUUCUUAUUCACUGUCAUCAAUGCUGACCAGGGAAAAUUGCACAGGUGCACGUGUGUGUGUGUGUGUGUAGGGCUAGUGAAGCAGGCAACUACCAGAGAUACAUUAUUAAAAAGCUAACAUUUAUUGGCCAGGCGCGGUGGCUUACGUCUGUAAUCCCAGCACUCUCACGGGUGGUGCCUCCCCGGCAAUGGGGGUCCCAAGAUCCAGGGGGGGAAAAGGGGAUGGCUCUCAGCCACCACAAAAUGGGGGGCCUUUAUGUUCAGGUUUUGCCCAAGAGUCAGCUUAUUUGCUUCUUGUACUAGCAGGGCAGUUGCUGCCAAGGCCUCAAACAGGGGAGCCAUCCUUCAGAAACCCUGUCUAGUUGUUCAGAGACGUAGGCCACCGGCCUCAGCCAGGGCCCCACAGUUUGGGUUAAAAGUCCAGCUGCCAUCUUUUCUCUCUCUAACGCAUACAAUGGAAAAGGCUUUGUCAGAUCGGGUAGCCCCAGGGCUGGGGCUGCCAGAAGUUUUUCCUUUAAGUCAUGAAAGACUUGCUGUUCUUGGAUCCCCAUUCCAAAGGUUCCGGUCCCCGCCCCCUUUGUGACCUCAUACAAAGGCUUGGCUAAUACUGCAAAGUUUGGGAUCCACAGUCUACAAAACCCCACAUCCCCUGAGAAUUCUCUCGCCUGCCUUAGGCACUUAGGCUCCGGGAGAUUGCAAAUAACCUGCUUUCUUUCUGUUCCCGGGCUGCGUUCGGACUCCUGUCAGAUAGUAAAUCCUAAGUGGCGUCGGACCCCUGUCAGAGAGUAAAUCUCAAGUAAGGUACCUGCCAUCGGCAGAUUUGAGCUUUCUUCUUGGACACCUAAUACCCACAGUCCUCCAGGCUCCGGUAGACUGCAAAUGACCUGCUUUCUUUCUGUUCCCGGGCUGCGUUUGGACCCCUGUCGGAUAGUAAAUCCCAAGCUCCGGUAGACUGCAAAUGACCUGCUUUCUUUCUGUUCCCGGGCUGCGUUUGGACCCCUGUCGGACAGUAAAUCCCAAGUAAGGUACCUGCCCUCGGCAGAUUUGAGCUUUCUUCUUGGACACCUAAUACCCACAGUCCUCCAGGAAUGGAACAGAUAAGAAGAUACUGAAAUUGGACGGUGCUGCCGUGCGGCUGCCGCAGGACACCUUUAAUAUCCCUGUUUCUCAGGCUGUAGAUGAAGGGGUUCAGCAUGGAGGUGAUCACCGUGUACAUCACUGAGGCCACUGCAGCCUUUCUCGGGGAAGAUGACACAUCUGAACUGAGGUACCCUCCAAAGCCUGUUCCGUAAAAUCAGCAAACAACUGACAGGAUAACUUCAGGAAGUGGGUAUUAAUUCUCACGGUAUAAGUGAAGACAUUAAGCACCAGAGUUUAAGUAGCUUGAUCCACUGAAAGAGAUUCAACUGUGUGGAACCUAUGCCGUGGAGAAUUGCUUUCUGCCAUUGUUAUCGUCCAGCAGUUGCCGAAUAGCUCUGACCUGAGCAAAGCAGUGAAACGCGGUGCUGUUGAGUGGGUUGCCACUGCACCUUUUUCAACUACUCUAGUCUUGUGGAGAAAAUACCCCUUCUAAAUUUUUUCUUCAUUGAAUACUCUCCCUCAGCUCCAGAGUACCAUAUAGAGUUUUCUUGUAUUUUAGAGUUACUGUUUUAUCAAAGUUUACCAGUCUUUUGUAUUACAUUUCUCCUGUCUAAAUCGACUGUGUGGUUUCUACUCAUUAUGGAUAUAGAUUGAUACAAACUCAAUAAAUAUUUUUGAAUGAAUAACUCCACAGUCCAAGUUAUUUUAAUCACUAUACAAAAUCUCCAGAGUUUCUCCCAUAUUUCUGAACAUGGUAACUAUGUAUCAAGAGACAAAC